RNAcentral lists this ribosomal RNA (814 nucleotides) under uncultured soil bacterium. RNAcentral describes it as "bacterial SSU rRNA". It matches the Rfam family "Bacterial small subunit ribosomal RNA", at positions 56 to 850 of the family's 1533-position model. The record is from RNAcentral.
UGCGAGUCGAGCGCCUUUCUUCGGAGAGGAGCGGCGUCCGGGUGCGUAACACGUGGGUGACCUGCCGUGACGUGGGGGAUACCCGCCCGAAAGGGUGGCUAAUACCGCAUGAGCUUUCUGAUCCUGUUUAGGAAGCAAAGCCUGCAAGGGCGCAUUACGAGGGGCCCGCGGCCUAUCAGCUUGUUGGUGGGGUAACGGCCUACCAAAGCGACGACGGGUAGCCGGUCUGAGAGGACGGACGGCCACAGUGGGACUGGGACAUGGUCCACAGCUCUACGGGGUUUAGCACGGAGGAAUCUUGCGCAACGGUCUAACGAUCGGCGCGGCAACGCCGCGUGGGGGACGACGCGUCUCGGCGUGUAAACCCCUGUUGCUCGGGAAGAAGUACCUAUGGGGAGAUCCUGUAGGGAAGACGGUACCGGGCGAGGAAGCACCGGCUAACUACGUGCCAGCAGCCGCGGUAAUACGUAGGGUGCGAGCGUUAUCCGGAUUUAUUGGGCGUAAAGGGCGCGCAGGCGGCCGUGGGCAGUAGCGCGUGGAAUCUCCCCGCUCACCGGGGAGGGGUCGCGCUAUACGACAUGGCUUGGGGCAGGCAGAGGAUCGCGGAACGGGCGGAGUAGGGGUGAAAUCCGUAGAGACCGUCCGGAACACCAGUGGCGAAGGCGGCGAUCUGGGCCUGAAGGUGGAGCAAUCCACCUGAACCCGACGCUCGGGCGCGAAAGCGUGGGGAGCGAACGGAAUUAGAUACUCCGGUAGUCCACGCCCUAAACGAUGUCGACUCGGUGUCGGGGGUAUCGACCCCCCCGGCGCCCCA